This 1077-nucleotide long non-coding RNA is filed under the name Anas platyrhynchos platyrhynchos (common mallard). RNAcentral's name for it is "lncRNA (ENSAPLG00000020027.1)". Lineage: Eukaryota; Metazoa; Chordata; Aves; Anseriformes; Anatidae. The record is from RNAcentral.
GCGGGUGGUGUCCACCCGUGCCAUUACCACACCGCUCUCAGGCUCAAGUUCCCUAAUUACAAUGCGGGUGUCAAGCGUUUUGUGCGCGCAGGUACAGUAAAAAACCUCAUUCCCUCCCUGCUCGUGCUACGUUUGGCCGCCUGCUCCGGGGUCAUUACGGCUCCGUUAAUUAAAGAGGGCAGCAGCCAACGCAGCCCGGGCCCAGGGGGGGUUCAUACCGGCUGCCUGCAGGGGAAAAACGAAGGGUUUUUUUUGGGGGGGAGCUGCACCCGGGGCCGGCGGAUAAAGAGGAGCCCGGGUCGCCCCUCGACGGCUCGGACGGCGAAGUGGGGGGCGAGGGGAGUCCCCCCAAGGCGGCUGUCGGGGCCGCGCUCCCCGCGUCCCUUGGUGACCCCCCUUCACCCCCGGUGCUUCGCCGGCGGAGCGUCGCCUGCAGACACAACAAAGCCGGAGCAGCGCCGGAGCAGGCAGAGCUCCAACGUUUUGACGGGUGGAAGAAAAACAUCAACAGAUACCUCGCAAUUAGCCGGCGAUGGGGGGCUAGGGGAGGCGGGCGGGGGAGAGGUCGCUUCGCAGCGGCGGACGCUAAUUGCAACCUUUGCUUUGCUAAUGAGCUCGCUCCGCUCCGUGUCUCCCCCCCCCCCCCCCCCUCCGGAGGUUUUUUUGGGGGGGGGAGGGGGCGUGGGGAGCAAGCCGUCACUUUUGUGCGAGCAGCAAUUCGGCUCUGAAUCCAUCCCGUGGCCGGGAGGCCAGGCUUCAGGCGCUGGCCGGGAGCGCUCCCGUUCCCAAACCGGGGCUGCGGGUGCGCCCCCUGCCCCUGCACGGCCCCCUCGGGCCGAGGGAGCGAUGCCAUCGGGGCCGGGAACCCUCCCGGUGCCCCACACCCUACAAACGCAGCGCCGGAGACCCCCGCCGAAACCCCAAGGCAGCGGCACUGGAUCCGCAGCGGGCGCCCGGCACUGUUUAAACAAUCCUCUUUCUGCUUCGGACGGUAUUAUCAGGACUUUGGCAUUAUCGGUCAAUGGAAAACAUCCUUCUUUUCCUUAUUUCAAAUAUUUAUUUAAAUAUAUAUAUUAA